AGCUAAUUAGCUUAAAAAAGCAUAUGUUUUGAAAGCAUAAGUUAGAGGAUUGACUCCUUUAUUAGCUU
RNAcentral lists this transfer RNA (68 nucleotides) under Neoperlops gressitti. RNAcentral describes it as "tRNA-Ser". It matches the Rfam family "tRNA". Rfam says of the family: Transfer RNA (tRNA) molecules are approximately 80 nucleotides in length. Their secondary structure includes four short double-helical elements and three loops (D, anti-codon, and T loops). The record is from RNAcentral. Lineage: Eukaryota; Metazoa; Arthropoda; Insecta; Plecoptera; Perlidae.